Molecule: unclassified non-coding RNA, 361 nt
Filed under: soil metagenome
Description: partial contains 5.8S ribosomal RNA, internal transcribed spacer 2, and large subunit ribosomal RNA
Rfam family: 5.8S ribosomal RNA (bases 1-120)
Source: RNAcentral
GAUGAAGAACGCAGCGAAAUGCGAUAAGUAGUGUGAAUUGCAGAAUUCAGUGAAUCAUCGAAUCUUUGAACGCACAUUGCGCCCGGUAGUAAUCUGCCGGGCAUGCCUGUCCGAGCGUCAUUUCAACCCUCGAACCACUAUUCGCGUAGCUGGAUCGGUGUUGGGGCACUACGGUGGAAUACCCGUAGGCCCCGAAAUGAAGUGGCGGUCCCGCCGCGGCGCCCCCAUGCGUAGUAACAUCUCGUCUCGCAUCGGGUCCCGGCGGAGGCCUGCCGUCAAGCCUAUUUUCUAAUUACAGAUGGUUUGACCUCGGAUCAGGUAGGGUUACCCGCUGAACUUAAGCAUAUCAAUAAGCGGAGGA